CAAAAUAAAGCUGAAAAUAAAGCAUCUCAUUUACACCGAGAAGGAUAUCGUGUGAUUCGAUUUAUUUUGA
Molecule: transfer RNA, 70 nt
Filed under: Astacus astacus (noble crayfish)
Lineage: Eukaryota; Metazoa; Arthropoda; Malacostraca; Decapoda; Astacidae
Description: tRNA-Val
Rfam family: tRNA
About the family: Transfer RNA (tRNA) molecules are approximately 80 nucleotides in length. Their secondary structure includes four short double-helical elements and three loops (D, anti-codon, and T loops). Further hydrogen bonds mediate the characteristic L-shaped molecular structure. tRNAs have two regions of fundamental functional importance: the anti-codon, which is responsible for specific mRNA codon recognition, and the 3' end, to which the tRNAs corresponding amino acid is attached (by aminoacyl-tRNA synthetases). tRNAs cope with the degeneracy of the genetic code in two manners: having more than one tRNA (with a specific anti-codon) for a particular amino acid; and 'wobble' base-pairing, i.e. permitting non-standard base-pairing at the 3rd anti-codon position.
Source: RNAcentral